RNAcentral lists this ribosomal RNA (238 nucleotides) under uncultured bacterium. Its description in RNAcentral is "partial 16S ribosomal RNA". It matches the Rfam family "Bacterial small subunit ribosomal RNA", at positions 96 to 334 of the family's 1533-position model. The record is from RNAcentral.
CGGCGGACGGGUGAGUAACGCGUGGGUAACCUGCCUCAUACAGGGGGAUAACAGUUGGAAACGGCUGCUAAUACCGCAUAAGCGCACAGUACCGCAUGGUCCGGUGUGAAAAACUCCGGUGGUAUAAGAUGGACCCGCGUUGGAUUAGCUAGUUGGCAGGGUAACGGCCUACCAAGGCGACGAUCCAUAGCCGGCCUGAGAGGGUGAACGGCCACAUUGGGACUGAGACACGGCCCAG